CGGAGGAUGCAAGCGUUAUCCGGAUUCAUUGGGUUUAAAGGGUGCGUAGGCGGGCUAUUAAGUCAGUGGUGAAAUCCUGCAGCUUAACUGCAGAACUGCCGUUGAUACUGAUAGUCUUGAGUUUGGUUAAGGUAGGCGGAAUGUGUAAUGUAGCGGUGAAAUGCUUAGAUAUUACACAGAACACCGAUUGCGAAGGCAGCUUGCUGGGCCAUUACUGACGCUGAUGCACGAAAGCGUGGGGAGCGAACA
RNAcentral lists this ribosomal RNA (249 nucleotides) under uncultured prokaryote. RNAcentral describes it as "partial 16S ribosomal RNA". It matches the Rfam family "Bacterial small subunit ribosomal RNA", at positions 526 to 774 of the family's 1533-position model. The record is from RNAcentral.